Molecule: long non-coding RNA, 22817 nt
Filed under: Vitis vinifera (wine grape)
Lineage: Eukaryota; Viridiplantae; Streptophyta; Magnoliopsida; Vitales; Vitaceae
Description: long non-coding RNA (VVIN_LNC005530)
Source: RNAcentral
CUUGCUGUGCUUGAUCUCUCCGUGAAUGGUCUCACUUCUUCAAUAUACCCAUGGUUGUUCAACUUCAGUAGCAGCCUUGUUCAUCUUGACCUCUCUAUGAAUGAUCUAAAUGGUUCAAUUCCGGAUGCUUUUGGAAACAUGACUACUCUGGCAUAUCUUGGUCUCUAUGGGAACGAGCUACGUGGUUCAAUUCCGGAUGCUUUUGGAAACAUGACUAGUCUGGCAUAUCUUUAUCUCUCUUCAAAUCAGCUUGAAGGUGAGAUUCCGAAAUCCUUGAGAGAUUUAUGUAAUUUACAGAUACUAUACUUGUCUCAGAACAAUCUCACUGGACUGUUGGAAAAAGAUUUUCUGGCCUGCUCUAAUAACACAUUAGAGGUUUUAGAUUUAUCUCAUAAUCAAUUCAAAGGGUCAUUUCCCUGGCUUUCAGGAUUUUCACAGUUGAGAGAAUUAUAUCUUGAAUUCAAUCACCUAAAUGGAACUUUACCUGAAAGUAUUGGACAACUGGCUCAACUUGAAGUGUUGUCCAUUCGUUCAAAUUCAUUGCGAGGCACUGUCUUGGCAAACUACCUUUUUGGUCUCUCCAACCUGUCUGUCUUAGACUUAUCUUUCAACUCCCUUACAUUCAACAUAAGCCCUGAGCAAGUUCCCCAGUUUCAAGCCUCUCGUAUAAUGUUGGCCUCUUGCAAAUUAGGACCACAUUUUCCUAAUUGGCUUCAAACUCAAAAAUAUUUGUUGGACCUUGAUAUCUCUGCUUCUGGAAUUUCUGAUGUCAUUCCCAGUUGGUUUUGGAAUUUAAAUUCAGGUUUAGCAUGGUUAAACAUUUCCAACAAUCACAUCUCAGGCACUUUGCCAAAUUUACAAGGAAUAUUUUAUUUGGGAAUGUGGGAUAUGAGUUCAAAUUGCUUGGAAGGUUCAAUACCACAAUUUCUUUUCAAUAAUGAAUGGUUGUAUCUCUCCAAGAACAUGUUUUCAGGCUCAAUUUCUUUAUCUUGCCGGAUUGCUAAUCUGUCUGGUUCGGGUUUGUCCCAUCUUGAUCUCUCAAAUAAUCGACUGUCAGGAGAACUACCCAAAUGUUGGGAGCAGUGGAAACAUCUAAUUGUUCUUAAUUUGGCAAAUAAUAAUUUUUCUGGGAAAAUUAAAAAUUCAAUUGGCUUGUUAUAUCGGAUUCAAACAUUGCAUUUACGCAACAAUAGUUUAACCGGAGCAUUGCCUUUGUCCUUAAAGAACUGCAAAGAUUUGUGUCUUGUAGAUUUUGGAAGAAAUAAAUUAUCAGGCAAAAUACCUGCAUGGAUGGGAAGAAGCCUAUCAAGUUUGAUUGUUCUCAACCUAAGAUCCAAUGAAUUUAAUGGAGGCAUACCUUUAAAUCUAUGUCAAUUGAAAAAUAUUCAAAUGUUGGACCUCUCAAACAACAAUCUAUCUGGUACUAUACCAAAAUGUCUCAACAAUUUAAGUGCCUUAACUCAAAAAGGGAGUUUGGUCAUUUCUUAUUAUGAAGGAGAGUUGAAUGGUUGGAAGCUCUCCUAUCUUGAUAAUACAUUGGUUCAAUGGAAAGGAAAAGAACUAGAGUACACUAAAACUCUUGGACUUGUGAAGAGCAUUGAUUUUUCGAAUAACAAGUUAAUAGGAGAAAUUCCGUCAGAAGUAACUGAUUUGGUAGAAUUGGUGUCAUUGAACUUAUCAAGAAACGAUUUGAUUGGACCAAUCCCUGCAACCAUUGGUCAAUUGAAAUUAUUAGAUUCUCUUGAUCUAUCUCAAAACCAGCUUAAUGGUAGAAUUCCAGAUAGUCUUUCUCAAAUAGCUGGUCUAAGUGUUUUAGACCUAUCAAAUAACACCUUGUCAGGUAAAAUUCCAUUAGGCACUCAAUUACAGAGCUUUAAUACCUCCACAUACGAGGGAAAUCCUGAACUUUGUGGGCUACCUCUUUUGAAAAAGUGUCCAAAAGAUGAACCUGGGGAAGCCUCCUUCAUUGGUUUUAGUAGUAAAACAGAGGAUAUUCAAGAUGAUGCAAAUAAUAUAUGGUUUUAUGGAAAUAUCGUUCUUGGAUUCAUCGUCGGAUUUUGGGGAGUUUGUGGCACUUUACUACUCAAUAGUUCAUGGAGAUAUGCCUAUUUCAAGUUCUUGAACAAGAUAAAAGACCGAGUGUAUGUGACAACAACAAUAAAUAUGAAUAGACUAUGGAGGAGCUUCCAAAUUUAAAUGGUAAGAUUUCUCAAAUUCUCUCCUUAGUCUUUUUAAUAAAUUAUAUUACCUUAGUAGCCUCUUUCUAUUAUUGCUCAAAUCCCUAUUCUAUUAAUUAACUUACCUUCCACAACUUAUGGAGAUAAAAUAAGAUUUUUCAAAUAAAAAUAUCAUAUUUUAUUUGAUUAGAUGUGAAAUUCAACUAUAACUAAGGAAGCCUUGAAUAUUUUGAUAUACCAAAUAUAACAACACCACAUUUUUAGUUCUCAUUGUACAUAUAGAUAAAUGUUAUGGCUUGAGAAUCAUAGUUGAAAAAUUAUAAUUAUCACUAUUUUUUUCUCAUCUUGCUUUUACUUACAGUUGUACCUUUUGCUGAAGUUCAGUCAACUUGCUUUAAGAAUAUUUGAGGUUUUAUUGUAAGAAGCAUACUACCAUACUUUCCUUUAUAUUAAUCAAGAAAAGUAAAUUUGCUUCUAUUGAAGACAUUUUUUUCAAAUUGAUGAAUAUUAUUUCAUUUGUUGUAUUGCAGAACUUCAAUUGGGUUGCAUCUCAAGGAUUAGUAGGUAAUAUAUGCUUGUGAGUAAUGAGUUUAUUUAGUAUUGGACAGCCUGAAUGUAAGAGCAUUUGUGUUUAUUGAACUCAUCAUCUUAUAAAUAACUUUGGCGUGUAUUAAGUUUGUUUAUUUGAUAAUAGGCGUGGCUUAAGUUUCUUAUGUUAUGCUCUAUUUAGAGCGAAUCAAAUAUAUUAGAGGAUGAUAUCAAGUCCUUUGUGGUGCAAUGCUAGAAACUACUUCGCUUUAAAAAAAACGUUUUCUUUUGCUCAAAAACCAGUAGCAACUAAAGCCAUAAUUUAAAAUGGGACAUGGUAAGACUAAGAACAGAAACUGAGCACUCUGUUUUUCUGGUGCCCAAGCAUGGAAGUUAUUAUAAUAAAAAGAAACAGCUGGUCAGAAUAAAACAAAAUUCAAAACAUGGUGUUUCUCACAAUGCAUAUUGAGGCUUCAUCCACUGAUAUUCCACAACAGAUUAACCGUCAAAAACCCUUAUGUUGAGUAGGAGAAAAGAAGCUCCAUACUUCUCAGGACAUACAGAACAACACCUUGGGUAGAGACCUUGACCAUGCUUGCAGAAAUGUGUUUUUGGAGCAGCAAUCCGAAGUAUAGGAGGCUUCAUAUUUGGGAACACUCCUCAUUCAAUGUAUCAUUGUGACUGAGAUGACUACAUAUUGAGGUUUGAUCAGUUCUAGGAAGGUGACUGGUUAUCAUAAAGCAUUUACCAACCAUUCUUGAAUACAUACUUAUGUGAUUUAGCAGGAUGGAACUGCAACUAGUCAUUAAUUAAGCAACAAAAAUGGCUGUGGUAAGAUUCUGAGACAUUGAUUGUAUAUUCCAUUGUUUUUUAUUUGAGGUUAAAUUCGGCUUUUGUUUUUUUUACUUUUUAAUUCUCUACUGCUUACAUGCCUCUUGUAUCUGAAGAGGCUAAUUGUUCAUGCGGUUGAAUUUUGCAACAUUUUCUUAUUGUUCGGGGCUUAAGCUUCUGUUCAUUUUUUCAUUAUUAUGUUUUUGUGCUUUGUUUUUUAUGACUAAUCCCAUGCCACAUAGUGAAGUGUUCACAGAGAAUGACUGGAAAUUUGUCCAGCUUGGGCUUGCUCUAUUUUAGAACAUUUUAGCCAUUCAAGACAUCUCGUUGCAGUAGAAGGCUGGGAGUCUGCACGCCACUCAAUUUUUAUCUCUGAGUAACCAAUUUUUGGUGCUGUUAUUCUUCAUUGAUUUAGAAGAUGAGCUGUUAUUUUUGGGGAUAUCUGUGUUAUAAUACACAAUAGUAUGCAUUGGGAUAUGCUACUACUGAAAACAGAACAAUCUGUUUUUGUGGCGUCCAAGCAUAAAAGCUAUUGUCACACAGCGAGGUCUGAUUUCCAACUGUGAAUCAAAUUGCUCGAGGUACUUCAUAUGCAGAUCGCUGCAAGUGGCUUUGGCCAUCAAUCUCCUUCAGGGGAUGAUAAUAUUGAGAUUGCAGUGAAGGUUUGGGUGUUUGUCACAAUGCCUGUUGAAGCGUCAUCAGAUGAUAUUUAGUCAUCAGAUGAUAUUUAAUGACAGAUAGGGUAUCUGUGGGGUUGAAAUCUCAUUACAUGCGGCAACACAGUUCUUGAUAUUUAAUGACAGAACGGUAAGCGAACUUUAUAUGUAGUUUUUUCCCUUCUCAUGGGUUCAUUUGUAAGUGUCCCAAUUUUCAAACAGAUGAAUAAUGGAUGGUGAAAGUGUCCUACACAUCAUAGAACAAAGAACAAGGAACAAGGAUCAGGAGUUCCCUUUACCUCUUGGGAUCUGUGUUGACACAUCCAUCUCAAAUUUCACUACUUGCAUUUUCUUUUGGGAAGUUUUUAUUGAGGACAGAAUAAUAAAUUAGCAUAUAGCUCUGUGAUAUCUGUCUAACCAUGCUGGCUUUUCCAUUUUGCAGAUUUGCAUGCUAGAUUUAGUGCUUAAACUAUCACUGGAAGAUUCUAAAGAGCCUCAAACAGCCCACAUCCUUCUUUAAAAGUUAGAUUUAUGAUCAGACUGAUCAAGGGUUGACUCAUUUUCUCUUGAAUCUGAUCAAAUCCUUCGACUCUCAUACUAACCCAAAAGGUUUCCCCUUUCAUUUCAACAACUUAGAAGUUCAUUGUUGAUGAUGAUGUUGCUGUUAUAUUCAUUAUUAUUACAACUAAUUUGAUAAGCAAUUAUUGUUAUUAUUUUUCUUUAUCUUAUAACACAAUCAUAUGAUAAAUGGAAUAUAAUGUCAUGACUGCAUUGAAAUUCUUGACCAAACAGAAAAAUGGGAAAUUUUGCUGUCUAUUUUAAAGCAUUGUAAUCAAUAUAGGGUAUCAUGAUGAUGAAUCAAGUCAACCUUGCCCCUACACUUUUGUGGUUGUGAAUGCAUUGAAAGAAAGUAAUAAUUCAGUCUGUGAAUCAAACAGGCCAUUAGUUCUUCGAAAGACUGAUACUCGAGAUGAAUGGGAAUUUGAGGCUGUAAGGCUGGGACGAUGAUGUAAACGGCACUCGCCAAUGGGUUCCUGAAUGGUCUGCAGUUUCUAAUCCAUGUGAUAUUGCUGGGGCUUGCCCUGUGUAGCUUGGACUGAAGCAAAACUAAUGCCUCCAGCAUGUACAUGCCUGCUGGGGGCUUCUAAUGUGGGAGACGGCGGCCAGUGCUCAGAGAAUUCUUCGGUGUCAACCGCGAGAUGUGAUAAUAAUCAUCGGAAUUCGACUGCUUCCAAGCUGAAGAUGUCGAUAGUGCAGCAAACUAAGUACUAUUAUCUCAUUUUUCCGAUUAUAGCAAAUUACAGUAACAUCUCGCCAUUAUCACAGUGCGGUGAUGCUUGUUUAUCAGACUGUGAUUGUGCUGCUUCCGUGUUGGCUGCUAAACAACUUGGAGUUUGGUGGAUUCGAGGACACGAGUUCGACCUUGUUUGUGAAGGUUGGGCCUAAGGGAUCACCUGGAGGCAACGCAACAGGAUUUGGGGAUUCAUCUGAUGGCCUCUGAGACAAGGUCUUAGUUCUUCCAAUUGUUCUCAGCAUGACUGUCCUUGUAGGACGACUCUGCUUCUUGUUAUACCACAGUGUGUACAGGAGGAGGGCCUUGAAGAGAGCCCUGGAAAGCCCCUUGAUUGUGUCCGGCGCUCCAAUAAAUUUCAGUUACUGUGAUUUGCAGUGCAGAACCGGCAAUUUGCACAGGUCAGCAUGUACAUAUACAUAUAUAGACUUUGAAAAGGAUGAAAUUGCUUGAACAAAGCCAAUUAGACUUGAUCAAUGAGGAUUAAUGUUGUCUUCUUUUUUUUUUUUUUUUUCAUGAGAGUUUGGGAGUGUAUACAAGAUGGGACAUUGGUUGCAGUGAAGAAGCUUGACAAGCCUCUUGGGAAGAAGGAAUUCAUAACUGAAGUGAAAACUAUUGGCUCUAUGCAUCACAUGAACCUGGUUCAACUCUGCGGCUACUGCUCAGAAGGCUCUCACCAGUAUGCAUUUCAUUUCAUUGCCUAAUACCAAUUACCACUAACCAUAUUUAAAUUCUUAUCAUCCUCUUUGGGGGUCAAGCAUACUAUAUCUUCGAGCUUGUAAUGGGGUUGGAAUUUGAUGAUUCUUCACAGGCUUCUGGUUUAUGAGUUCAUGAAAAACGGUUUCUUGGACAAGUGGAUAUUUCCCUCAAAGCAUUGUCGGGACAGACUGCUAGAUUGGGGAACUCGCUUCCAUAUAGCCAUUGCUACUGCACAAGGUAUUGCUUAUUUUCAUGAGCAGUGCAGGAACCGGAUCAUCCACUGUGAUAUCAAGCCCGAAAACAUACUUCUAGAUGAGAAUUUCUAUCCAAAAGUUUCAGACUUUGGACUAGCAAAGCUGAUGGGCAGAGAGCAUUGACAUGUAAUCACUAUGGUGAGAAGAACUAGUGGUUAUUUGGCUCCAGAAUGGGUGAGCAACCGACUUGUUACUGUAAAAGCCGAUGUCUACAGUACAGAUAGCUUCUUUUGGAGAUCGUUGGUGGCUGGAGAAACCUUGACAUGACUUUUGAUGAAGAAGACUUCUUCAAUCCUGGGUGGGCUUUUAAGGUAUAGAUCAGUCAAGUUCUUGCUUUUGUAAAUCACAAAUUGUUAAGUGUUUGAUAUUUUAUUAACAAAAAUGUCAAUUCCUCUAGGAAAUGAGUAAUGGGACGACGAGAAAAGUUGCAGACAGGCGAUCGACUGGAAGGGGCAAUGGAGGAAGAAGAGCUGGAAGAGCAUUGAAAACCGGCUUUUGGUGCAUUCAAGAUGAGGCUUUCAUGAGGCCUUCAACGGGGGAAGUGGUGAAGAUGUUGGAAGGAUCACUUGAAAUCAACACACCGCCAAUGCCACAGACAGUGCUGUAGCCCAUGGACGAAGGCCUAGACAAUGUAUACAGAGCCAUGAAGAGAGAGUUCAACCAGUCCAGCUUCAUCACCAUCAAUAGUACCCAUCCUUCAUCAAGGGCUACAUGUAGUUAUUCCACAAUGUCACCAAGAUAGCAAAGGAGAAAUGGAACAAAUUUUGUUGCUGUCCAAGAAUUUUAUCCCCAUGAUACUUUGAUACUGUCCAGAAACAUAGUAUUUAUUGACCAUUUGUUAAACUAGUAGAGAACUUUGCAUAAUGUUGUUGCUAAGAUUUCAAAUGGUAAAAGAAAUUAUAUUAAUUGCGAAACAAAAACAUAAACAAUUAGGUUGAGGUACGGAAAUCUCGUUCUUUUAAAGGAGAUUUAAGCCAUUUCUAGUUUGACAAUUUCAGAAAUCGGUAUACUUGACUUCUCUUUGGUUUGUCCCCUCAAGGAUACAAUGGUCCAAGUGAUUUGUUGCAUAGCUCACGUCAAUAUGCAUAAAGCAUAGAACUCAAAGCUAGCGGUUCACAAACAAACCUAUUUUUUUUGGCCAAGAGAAAAUAAAUAAAUAAAAAGGAAGAAGGCAGAAGAUGACUAAAAAAAUGUGUUAAAGUUAUAUGACAUUAGGAGGGUGAGUCAAGGCUAAUCAUAAAGUUUGAAAUGUUCAACAAUUUCAAAAUAAUUCAAUCUCGAUAAAUCCCAUUAACAUAAAUGAUAUUUAAUAUUUUUUAAUUUCCAUAAUUUUACAUUUGUAACUACAAAUUUAAUAACCCAUUAUGCCAACUUUAAUCCCUAUAACUUUCAUAUAUAACCACAACGUUAGUAACUAGUUUCUUUAAUCCCAAAUCUCCAUUUUUUUGAACUUUUAAAAACUUUUUUGGACCUCAUAUGACUUAGAUAUUGAUUUGAUAGGUUAAUUAUGCUUAGGGGGUGUUCAAUUGAUGCUUGAAAAAAAUCAAAAUAAAAAAAGACUAAGAAAUGAGUAAGGAUACAAAGCAUGUCAAAAUAUGAUAUCCCACAUCGGAUAUGGAAGAAAGUUCUUGACACUAUAUAUGUAGAGACUCCUCUUAAUUAUGUAAACGUGUCUUAAAACCAUGAGGGUCCCUUUGGGUUUAAAGCGAACAAUAUCUAUACUACGAAAAAUGUGAUGAAUUCUCGCAUUCUUCAUACCCUCCUCCACUUCUUUGAACUUUAAAAAAAAAAAUUGAACAUCAUAUGAUUUUGAUAUUGAUUAAAUAGGUUAAUUACACUUGGUGGGUAUGAGAUUAAUGCCCGAAAGAAUUGAAAUCGAAAAUUUAAAAAAAAUUUUGAGGAUUCCUCACACUCUUCAUACCUUAUCAAAUUUCCACUUCUUUCAAUUUUUGAAAUCUUUUUUGAAUGUCAUAUGGAUUGAAUAUUGAUUAAAUAAGUUAAUUUAGAAGGUGUGAAAUUGAUGUCUGAAAAAAUCAAAAUCCAAAAAUAUUAAAAAAUUAGCAAAGAGUGUGGAAUUCCUUAUUGCUACUAAUUAUAUUAUUAUUAUUAUUUUGUAUUUUCAAUACUUCAACCAAUAUUUGAUGUGAUUAAAUUUAAAAUGUAAGAAAGAAUUUAUUAAUACAAUUUUCAAUUAAUAAUUAGUACACAACUAUCUUAAUUUUUAAACAUUGUAUACUUAUUUAAAUUUAUUUUCAUAUUUUUAUAAAAGUGUAAUUACACUUACAAUUUAUUGAAAUUUUUGUAAAGCUCCUGAGACGUAAAGGUUAUAUCACGAUACUGAAUUCUGCUAUGCUCGCCUUUCAAGCUCUGAUGCUCCACGCCUGCAGCUCCGUUCUUUGCAACUGAAAUACACCAUUAGCUAUGUCCGCCUGUGAUUAAUGCUCUUGCCAAUGGAGCCGGUGAAAUUUAUUUACAUUGUUUUUCUUUCCAAAGUAUUUUUUUAGAUGGAAAGAAAAAGAGACAAAUUAUAAAAAAUAAAUCUCCAAUACCAAUAUUUAAAAAUGAUUUAUCUAUUUGUCAACACAAUUUGAGUGGAAGAAUAAUCAAGACAUGUGAAAAUCUAUAUAUCAGGAAUCAAAUAGGGCCCAAGAACAGGUUCCAACAAGAACCAUCAAUGGGUUGCCCAAUCAAUAACAAAAGGCCCGGUCUCAUGGAUCACACAAAAUGGAGUCACCACACGAUAGGUUUAAACCCAAAUAUAAAUUUCAAGUUCAUAUUUUCAAUCCCAUUUAUAAUUUAUUUAUUCAAAUUAGAAAUCUAUUUAUCAAGAAUUAAGUUAGAGUGCAUGGAGACCAAAGUUAAGAGAGAGGAUCAUGCCAAGAUUUAAAAUGAACAAAAUAUUUAUGAUUUAUCUAUAAUAAAUAUUCAAAUAAUAUUAAAAAAAAAACUAAUUAUUUUGAUGAUCAUAAAAUAUAUCAUUAUUGAAAUACAAACAAAUUUAAAUAAUAAAAUCUUUUUUUAUCUUAAUAAUUAAAAGUUACAUAUUUAAUAAAAUUAAAAUUACUAAUAAUUUAAUAAAUCUUUGUGUCAUUCUUAUCAUAAUUUAAGUUGUCAACAUUAAUGAUAUAAGAUGAUGAAAUGUAUUUAAAUUUUUUAAUUAUUUAUAUAUUUUUAAUUUCUUAUAAUUAGUUUAAAUUUUAAUAAUAUAUAAAUUAUAUAUUUAUGAGAUUACCAAUUUGAUCACUGUUUAACCAUAAAUCAAUAAUUUUUCUCAUUGAAUAAUCAAUCUAAUUCUAAAAACAUUGAUAAAAACUAAAGAAUCUUUAUUAUAAAAAAAAUAAAAGAUGUAAAAAACAAAUAAUUUGACUAGUCAAAGUAAAGGUCAUGGGUGACUUUUGGAAGCCUAGAAUAACAUAGGAAAUGUACAAGAAAUCAUUGAGCUUGCCAUUUAUUUCAGUAUUUGGAGGAUAAUAUUUAAUUUUUAAUCAUAUAAAAACAAAAGUAUAUUUAAUUCAUUAUUUUCUAAUAUUAUCUUAGAAAUAUUUUUAGAGAUAUAUUUAUUUUAGAACUUAUUGAGGAUAUUAAUACAAUGAAUUUGAUAAAUGUAAUAUAAAAAUGUAUAAAGUCAUUAAUUUUUUUUAUUUAUUAAAUUUGAAAUAUACAUAUCAUGUAGUAAUUUUUUGAAAAAAAAGAUUACUUUUAUAAAGCCAAUUCAAGGAAAAAGAAAACAUAACACUAUCCUCACUUCUCCGUGGUGUUUUAUUUCAUAUUAGAAAUCCUUCUAAUAAAAUUUCCUUUCUAAAAAUUUUAAAAAUAUUUUUUAUAACUACAAAAAAAAAAAAAAAAAAAAAAAAAAAAGCAUUACACUUAUCUUAUUCAUUACACUUUUAGAUUAUGUUGGUUUUAUUGGGAGCAGGGGGAAGGGAAUGGGAAGGAGAAAGUAGGUUUGCUUACUUGGAAAUGCUAUUUACAGAGAGACGGGGGUUUAGCCAGCUGAGAUUUGAAACAAAGAAAGGAAAGCUGGUGAUGGUGGAUUGAAUAUAGAGAAUGUGGGGUUUUGGGGUUGGGAGGCAUAUAUUCUUGACUGUUACGGUAACAACAUUUAUGAAAUGGACACAGCCUCCCUGAUGGUAGUACUCCAAAACGAUGUCGUUUCAGGACCCAAAAAGACAGGGUUUUAUCUCCCUCACCGCAUUGUAAUUAUUAUUAUUACGAUGGUUAAAAUUAGGAGUCAAUUUCUUGGGAUAUUCCACUAAUAAAAAAUAAAUAUAUUAUUUAUUUUAUUUUAUUUUUUAUUUCACUUAUCUUAUCAUAUUGUAGACCCCCCAUACGGUGAGGGCUUUUGGGUUUUUUUUGUUUUUGUUUUUUUUGUUUUUUAUUUUAUUCUUCUGACCACCCUAGAAAUUAAGCUGCAUGGGGCGGCAGAUGGGAUGGGUGGCAGGGGGCAAGCGGUGGCUUGCUGAGGAAGACGAGAGAAAAUAAAAAAAAAAAGAGGAAAAGGAAAAGGGAGAUCUGCAGAGGGUGGGAGGACUUUUCCGGAGAGCAGAAGACACCACUGUCAGUUGGAGGGCUCAGGUAUGGCCAUCUUCUCAAUUUUGGGUCUUUCUUUUUCGCUAUUUUUACUCAAUUCAUGCUGUGAAUCUAUUCUUCUCUGUCAUUGGGCUUGUUGAUUAUUGCUUUGGCACCUUUCUCUCCGAACCCCAUGCUCGUCCCUGCCUCACCCACGUCCCACGCAUGGCCGUCACCCUCACCUAUCUUCCUCAUCACCUCUUUCUCCCUCUAAUCGCCAUACCCGACUCCACAAGGACUCCCAAGGUCGCUCUUCUGCACGCAUGGAGUCCAAGCAAGCAUGCUGCCCCUCCCCGCAUCUCCUUGCUGCGCGCACCGCGCCGACGAGGCGCUUGCUCGUCUCACCAGCCGUUGCCUCGCCGCCAACCGCCAUCACCCGCUCCGGCUACGCUCACAUCUGCUCUUGCUCCGGGACCGCGUCGCCGCUGCCAUCGCUCCAGGACCACGCCGCCGCUGCAAUCGCUCCAGGACUACGCCGCCGCCGCCAUUACCCGCGACAGCGCCACCGCUGCCAUAGCCCGCGGCAGCGCCACCGUCUUCGCCUGGAAGGGCGAGAUCCUCCCGAGGCCUAGGAGCUGUCCACCAAGCUUGGAGAAAUCCGUGACUCCGAGCACCGUCGCCGCAGCCAGACGCGAGGGGGGGGGGGGGGGGGGGAACUAGGAAGAAGAUGAAGUCUUGUUGGGCUUGGGCUAAGGCUAGGCCCAAUUUGUGUUUGGUUUUGGCUAGGCCCAGUUUUGAGUUUGGUUUUGGGUUUGGGUUAUGAAGGCUUUGGGCUUGGGUUUGAGUUUGGAGCCCAGGCCCAAGCCUAUGCUGAAGAUGGGGCCUUUGUCUUGAGCCCAUUUCUAUUAUUACCAUAAUUAUUAUUAUUGUUAUUUUUAAUUAUUAUUGUCAUUGCUAUUAUUAUUACUAUUAUUAUUAAUCAUUGUUAUCAUUAUAUUUACUACUAUUAUUAUUAAUCAUUAUUAUCAUUAUAAUUAUUAUUAUUAUUAUCAUUAAUUAUUAUUGUCAUUGCUAUCAUUAUUAUUAUUGCUAUUAUUAUUACUAUUAUUAUUAAUCAUUGUUAUCAUUAUAUUUAUUAUUAUUAUUAUUAAUCAUUAUUAUCAUUAUAAUUAUUAUUAUUAUUAUCAUUAAUUAUUAUUGUCAUUGCUAUCAUUAUUAUUGUUAUUAUGAUUGUUGCUAUUAUUAUUAAUCAUUGUUAUCAUUAUAUUUAUUAUUAUUAUUAUUAAUCAUUAUUAUAAUUAUAAUUAUUAUUAUUAUUAUUAUUAUUAUUAUUAAUUAUUAUUGUCAUUGCUAUCAUUAUUAUUAUUAUCGGCAUUAUGAUUGUUACUAUUAUUAUUAAUCAUUGUUAUCAUUAUAUUUAUUAUUGUUAUUAUUAAUCAUUAUUAUCAUUGUUAUUAUUAUUAUUAUCAUUAUUAUCAUUAAUUAUUAUUAUCAUUAUUAUUAACUCAACUUUCAAAAUCUAUUUAUCAUUAUUAUUAUUAUCAUUAAUCCAAACUUUCAACACCUAUUCAUUAUUAUUAAUUAUUAUCAUUAAACCCAACUUCCAAAAUCUCAUCAUUAUCAUUAUUAUCAAUUCACAUUUUCAACACCUAUUUAUUAUUAUUUAUUAUUAUCAUUAGUCCAAACCUCCAAGAUCUCAUCAUUAUUAUUAUAAUUAACUCAACUUUCAAAAAUCUAUUUAUUAUUAUUAUCAUCAUUAAUCCAAGCUUUCAAAAACCUCAUCAUUAUUGUUAUUAUUACCUCAACUUUCAAAAUAUUAUUAUUAUUAUUAUUAUUAUUAUUAUCAUUGAUUAAUACUUUCAAAACCUUAUUAUUAUUAUUAUUAUUAUUAUUAAUUCAAACUUUCAAGACCUUAUUAUUAUUAUUAAUUCAAACUUUCUAACUUCCAAUUUCCAAGCCCAAUUUAUAAAAAUUCAACCUUCAAAUAAUACUUCAAAAUUCCGACAUUUAAAAUUCAAUUCCAAUUUCCGAAAAUUCUCAUACUCACUUUAAUUUAUUUAAUCACUAAUACUUUAUUCAUUUAUUUUUAAAACUCCAUUCUUAAUCUAUUUAUUUAAAAUUUCUGUUUGCCGAAUUAAAUUCCGAAAAUUCCCAUUCUCACUUCAAUUUAUUUAAUCACUAAUACUUUAUUCAUUUAUUUUUAAAAACUCCAUUCUUAAUCUAUUCUUUAAAAUUUCCAUUUACCGAAUUAAAUCCCGAAAAUUCCUAUACUCACUUUAAUUUAUUUAAUCACUAAUACUUUAUUCAUUUAUUUUUAAAACUCUAUUCUUAAUCUAUUCUUUAAAAUUUCCAUUUACCGAAUUAAAUUCCGAAAAUUCCUAUACUCACUUUAAUUUAUUUAAUCACUAAUACUUUAUUCACUUAUUUUAAAACUAAUCUAUUCUUUAAAAUUUCCGUUUAUCGAAUUACAUUUCUAUUUUUGAAAAUUCCAGUAUUCACAUUAAUUUAUUUAAUUAUUAUUAUGUUAUUUAUUUAUUCUAAAAUUCUAUUUUAAACAAUUCAUUUAAAACUUUCGAUCUCUGAAUUAAAUUUCUAUUUCUGAAAAUUUCACUAUUCACAUUAAUUUAUUUAAUUAUUAUUAUGUUAUUUACUUAUUCUAAAAUUCCAUUUUAAACAAUUCAUUAAAAUUUCCGACUUUCGAUUUUAAUUUCUAAUUCCAAAAACUCCAAUAUUCGCAUUAAUCUAUUUAAUUAUUAUUAUUUUAUUUAUUUAUUCUAAAAUUCUAUUUUAAACAAUUCAUUUAAAACUUUCGACUUCCGAAUUAAAUUUCUAUUUCUGAAAAUUUCAAUAUUCACAUUAGUUCAUUUAAUUAUUAUUAUUUUAUUUAUUUAUUCUAAAGUUCCGUUUUAAACAACUCAUUAAAAUUCUCGACUUCUGAUUUAAUUUAUAAUUCCAAAAUUCCAAUACUCACAUUAAUCUAUUUAAUUAUUAUUAUUUUAGUUAUUUAUUUCGAAAUUCCAUUUUAAACAAUUCUUCAAAAUUCAAAAUUCGGAACUUAAUUUCCAAUUUCCAAAAUUCUAAUUUCUUUCAAAUUUAAUAUCCAAAAUUCCAAUUCUUAAAUUUAAUUCUCAAGACUCCAAUCUUCAAAUAAUUUUCGAGACUCCGAUUUCCAAAUAAAUAUCCAAAAUCAAGUUUUUACUCCAAUAGUUUUAAUUCCAUUUCGGUUCUUAAAUAAUCUUUUGAUCUUCUGGAUUUUACAUAAGCAAUAAUGAAUUCUUCAUAAUUCUAAAACAUGGAAUUUGUGAGAUUAGUUCAUGAACAAUAAAUUGGGCUUUGGUGGGGGGGCCAUAUGAUUGAUCCCUAUUGAUUGUCAACUGUUGUGCUUGAUAUAUUUUGCUCGAUCUUCAUUUUGCGCUCCGAUAUGCAUGAGCUAUAAUUCGUAUUCGUUAAUUGUGUACUAAUCCCGUUUCUUGAUAGCGCAUUGUGGCUCGUGGCUCAGGUACGCACACAUUUUCAUUUUGAUCAUUCUCUAUGCAUGUUGGAUUUUCAUAUGUGCAUGAUUUGACUUAGGCAUCCAUUGAUUGUCACGUCGGCUUCAUUUUAUUAGUAGAGACCCGACUUUAGGGGCUUAGAGGGGUGCUACGGUCUUUACCGUACCUUCCCGAUGAGUAACCUGACCCCCGAACCCGAUCCGAUUUUUCACAGACCACCUUUUCCAAAAUAAGGAGUCACACUUAGGGUUUUUCUUUCUUAUUUUGUUUACCCUUUUAAAAUAAAACAAAAAUAAGUGGCGACUCCAAGUCAUUUUCAAAUAGUCAAUAAAAAUCAAUUUUCCUAAAUAAACAUCGAGCUCGCCAUUGAGUGGGAAACGCAUUGAGCCGAAAUGCGGGGUCCACACAUAUAUUUAACUAAAUAUGACAUAAGAUAAACUAUGAGAUAUAUUAUUUGUUUUAUUUUUUAUAAAUAUGUUAAUACCAAGUUAAAUUAUAUAAAAUACACAUAUCCCCUGUAUUAUAAAUUUAUUUAUUUAUUUAUCUAUUUUUAAUUUAUAAAAUAAUUUUUUUAUAAUAAAAUAUAAUUUAUGGUUAAAAAGAACUCAAAAAUUUAUAAAAUAUAUUAUAAAAUAAUAUUAAUUAUAUGUAUUAUUUAAUAUAUAAAUUAUUUUUAUAUAUUUCAAAUAACAUAAUAUAAAAAAAUUAUUUAUAAAGUUUAAAUAUUUUAAUCAUGAAUAUUUUUAUAUUUUUUUAAAUAAAAAAUAUUAGAAUAUAAUAUAAAUUUUAUUUUAAAAUUUUAAAAAUAAUAUAUAUUCUAUUUUAUGUUUUUAUUCAUUUUAUAAACUAAAUAUAAAUCUAAUAUAACAUGUUUUAUUGGAUAUCUUAGUUUAAGAUAUCAUAUCCAUUGCAUAUAAUAUAUCACAUUCAAUUGAAAAUCAUAUAGCAUGAGAUAUGAUAUUUCAAGAUAUAUAUACAUAUAUAUUUUAUCCAAUGAACCAACAUAAUCUAAAUUAGUUAUAAAAUAUAUUAUUUUUAAAAGUGUUUAUUUCUUAGUCAUUACACUUUAUUAUUAUUAUUAUUAUUAUUAUUAUUAUUAUUAUUAUUAUUAUUAUUUUCUUUAUUUUUUUCACAUGCAAUGAUAGUUUCUAGUCAUCAUGCCUUGCAAGACCCAAUACUCACAAAAUUUACAAGUUUACUCAUCAUAUCUUUUAAAUUUUUUGUUACUCCUAAAGUAUUCAAGACUUUUAGCAAUGUCAUAUCCUUAUCACUACAACUAACAACUUUGACCAAUUCAAAAAAUGAACUUCACAUGCAAUAGUAGUUCUAAUCAUCAUGUCUUGCAAGACCCGAUAGUUACAAAAUUUUCAAGUCUACUAUUCAUCAUAUCUUUUAAAAUUUUGGUUACUCAUAAAGUAUUCAAGACUUUUAGCAAUGUCAUAUCCUUAUCAUUAUAACUAAGAACUUUGCCCAAUUCAAAAAAUGAACUUCUCAUGCAAUAGUUCUAGUCAUCAUGCCUUGCAAGACCCGAUAGUUACAAAAUUUUCAAGUCUACUACUCAUCAUAUCUUUUAAAAUUUUGGUUACUCAUAAAGUAUUCAAGACUUUUAGCAAUAUCAUAUCCUUAUCAUUACAACUAAGGACUUUGCCCAAUUCAAAAAAUGAACUUCACAUGUAAUAGUAGUUCUAGUCAUCAUGCCUUGCAAGACCCGAUAGUUACAAAAUUUUCAAGUCUACUACUCAUCAUAUCUUUCAAAAUUUUGGUUACUCAUAAAGAAUUCAAGACUUUUAGCAAUGUCAUAUCCUUAUCACUACAACUAAGAACUUUGCCCAAUUCAAAAAAUGAAUUUCACAUGCAAUAGUAGUUCUAGUCAUCAUGCCUUGCAAGACCCGAUAGUUACAAAAAUUUCAAGUCUACUACUCAUCAUAUCUUUUAAAAUUUUGGUUACUCAUAAAGUAUUCAAGACUUUUAGCAAUGUCAUAUCCUUAUCACUACAAUUAAGAACUUUGACCAAUUCAAAAUAUGAACUUCACAUGUAAUAGUAAUUUUAGUUAUCAUGCCUUGCAAAACCCGAUACUUACAAAAUUUUCAAGUCUACUACUCAUCAUAUCUUUUAAAAUUUUGGUUACUCAUAAAAUAUUCAAGACUUUUAGCAAUUCAAAAGUGCAUGCUUUAGAAAGUUAUUACUUUUUGUAGUUUAAAUGUGAGUGUUAUGUAUUUGUCUUUUCACAUAUUUAUAUAUAACCUAGAUGGCCAAUCAGGCCAUUACCAUACAAUUUUUUUUUUUUUUUUAUAUAUAAUCUCAUAAAGCAUUUUCAAUUUUUUUUUAUAAUGUAUAUAAAAUAAUGUCAAUCCAUUUACACUUACGAAAAUGAUUUUUCUUAAAAAUGUCAAAGGCAACGAGGUAUGAAUAUUUUUAUAUCUGGAAACUGCAGGGACCCACUAAGGGGAGUACAUGCUAUUAGUGUCGGUGAGGAGAAGAUAGAGGAAACACAUUGGGGGGUGAGUCAAGGAGGAAGGGGCGUGCCGCCCUGCCGGGAGCGUGGUGGCAUGAAUUACUUGGGCGGAGCGAGAUGUCACGUGGACCGCGCUUUGCGCGGACACGCGGCGACCUGCAGAUCCGGAGGGGCGACGUUGUCUAACGAAUUUUAGAAAUUCGUGCCACUAGCCAUAUGGAUUUUGGACUAAAAUAAAAAACAAGACUUUAUUUUUGUUAUUUCUUUUAUAAGGAUGUCAUAAUUAAUAAUUCAAAAAUGUUAAUAAUUAAUUAUUAAAGAGAUUUUUGCUACUCUUCGAAAUUAUAAAAAAGUUUAUACACUCAUAAAACAAAUAAAUGUAUCUUCUAAUAAAUAAAUUUUUAUUAAAAUAAAUAAAUAUAUAUCUAAUUUUGAAUUUAUUAAUAUGAAGUAAAUUGUAUGUAUCUUAAGUUAGAUUUCUUAUUGAUUAAAAAAAAAGACCAUUCAAGGUUUAGCUAGAUGAAAAAAAAAUCUUUAUUUAUUAGAAAAUUCAAUUUUUUUUGAAUGAUGAAUCAUUGAUAAUGAUAUAUAAAAAUAAUUUAUAUAUCAUAUAUUAAUAUUACUUUAUAAAUAUUUUUAGUUUUUCUUUUUUAACCAUAAAUUUAAUUUAUAAUUAAAAAAAUUAUUUUAUAAAUGGUAUCUCUUGUCAUCAUACCUUUCAAGACUCUAAGCUCAUAAAAAUUUUCAGUAUUUUCAUCAUAUCUUUUAAAAAGCCAUGUAUAACGGGUCUUUUUUUUCUUAAGUUUAAGUCAAUAAAUCAAAUUAAAAAAAAUAAUAAACUUUCAUUAUUGUAUUUUAUAUUGUAGCGAGAGACUUAAAAAGUCAUGUAUAACAAGUCUUCCUUUCAUAAGUCAAGUCAAUAAAUAGAAUUAAAAGAAAUAAUAAAUUUUCAUUAUUGUACUUUGUCUUGUAGCAAGAGACUUAAAAACCCAUGUAAGAGGUCUUCAUUUCUUAAGUCAAGUCAAGUCAAGUCAAUAAAUCGAAUUGGAAGUUUUUCCUUUUCUCUUUUUUUAAACCAACUUCUACUAUUACUUUUAUUAAUUAUUUUGAUCAUUUGAUUAAAUAUUAAAUUAUUAUUAUUUUUUUUCAAGUACAAACCAUUUCAUGUUAAAAAAUUUAAAGUGGAUCUAACUUUCUUUACAAGUUAAGAUAUCUUGAUAAAGGGAUAAAUAAUGGAUUGUAAUAUUUCAACUUUAAUUAAGUUAAUUUAUCAAUAUUCAAACUAAGUUGGAGAAAAAAAAAAAACAAAGACAACACCUCAAUUUUAGUUUUCCAUUACACAUGGUUAUUUCUUUUUCUUCUUUUUCCUUUGCUUCUUUGACACGCAAUGGUAUCUUUAGUCAUCAUACAUUAAAAAAAACAAGAUAAAGAAACAUUAGUCUACAUUGAGUGUGUUAAUAUGAAGUACAUUUUGUAGAUGAUGAAUCAUUGAUGAAGAUAGGCUAAGGAAUUUUUUCGGUCUAUAGAAUGACUUGUUAAUUAAAGUUGGAAUAUUAUAGUACUUUAUUUUUAUUAUCUCUUUAUCAAGAUGUCUUAAUUAAUGAUUCAAAAAUGUUAAUAAUAUCAUAAAAGAUAUUUUUUCUACUCUUGAAAAUUAUAAAAAAAGUUUAUACACUCAGAAAACAAAUUAUCUUCUAAUAAAUAAAUUUUAUUAAAAUAAAUAAAUAUAUGUCUACUUUGAAUUUAUUAAUAUGAAGUAAAUUGUAGGUAUCUUAAGUUAGAUUUCUUAUUGAUAAAAGAAAAAGACCAUUCAACAUUUAACUAGAUGGAAAAAAAAUCUUUAUUUAUUAGAAAAUUCAAAUUAUUUUUUGAAUGAUGAAUCAUGGAUAAGGAUAAAUACUCUAGAUGGGUCAAAUAUGGUAGAUAACUUGGUUCCAAUAAAUAUUACAUUAAAUUUUUUUGGAACUUAUAUUUCUGCUAACUAAAAGCAACCUCUAUAUGGAUUCAAUAUAGAGGAUGGUGUGACCGUAAAGUUAUUUCUUUAAAUUUUUGGCCGUAUAUUGUCACUUAACUACCACUUAUAAUAAUAAUAAUGAUGAUGAUGAUAGAGGAAACUGCAUGGGACCCACGAAGGCAUGGGGAGUACACGCUAUUGGUGUCGGUGAGGAGAAGAUAGAGGAAACACAUUGGGGGGUGAGUGAGGGAGCAAGGGCGGGAUGGAGUCAACAAGAGUGUUGACUGAGGAUAAUAAAGGGGCACGCCGCCCUGCCGGGAGCGUGGUGGCAUGAAUUACUUGGGCGGAGCGACAUGUCACGUGGACCGUGGCGACCUGCAGACCCGGAGGGGUAGCGUUGUCUAACGGAUUUUAGAAAAUUCGUGCAACUAGCCAUAUGGAUUUUGGAAUAAAAUAAAAAAUAAGACUUUAUUUUUGUUAUUUCUUUUAUCAAGAUGUCUUAAUUUAUAAUUCAAAAAUGUUAAUAAUAAAUUAUAAAAGAGAUUUUUGCUACUCUUCGAAAUUAUAAAAAAGUUUAUACACUCAUAAAACAAAUAAAUGUAUCUUCUAAUAAAUAAAUUUUUAUUAAAAUAAAUAAAUGUAUAUCUACUUUGAAUUUAUUAACAUGAAGUAAAUUGUAGGUAUCUUAAGUUAGAUUUUUUAUUGAUUAAAGAAAAAGACCAUUCAAGGUUUAACUAGAUGGAAAAAAAAUCUUUAUUUAUUAGAAAAUUAAUUUUUUUUUAAUGAUGAAUCAUUGAUAAUGAUAUAUAAAAAUAAUUUAUAUAUAUCAUAUAUUAAUAUUAUUUUAUAAAUAUUUUUAGUUUUUCGUUUUUAACCAUAAAUUUAAUUUAUAAUUAAAAAAUUUAUUUUAUAAAAUAAAUAUAUAAAAAAAUAAAUUUAUGAUAUAUGAGAUAUACAUAUCUUAUAUCUUAGUAUAGAAUUAACAUAUUUCGUGUAAAAGGAAUAAAAAAAGAGUGAAUAAUAUAUUUCACCACUUAAACUAUCUCAUCAUUAAUUAAAUAUAAAAUUUGAUGUAAUAUCUUCUCUUUUAUCCUGUAUGAUGUUACAUUUGAUCAACCAAACAUAACCUAUAAAGUUAAAAUUAUAGAAAUGAAAUGUAAGAGACCUUACUGAAAAAUAGAAAGUAAAAUGAUUGAUUUUUGAAAGUAAAUAUUGAUAAUAUUAUAAAAUUUUCACUAACAUAAAUUAAAAAAUUCAAGGAAAAAAAAAACAUAACACUAUCCUCACAAUUCCGUGAUAUUGUUUUUUUCAUAUUAGAAAUCCUUAUAAUCAACUUUCCUUUUUAUACGUUUUAAAAAGAAUUUUUAUUACUAAUUUAGAUUAAAAAAAAAAAAAAAAACCUUUCAACCAACCACACAUGUGACAUGGUGGUUGUUUUUAAAUUUCAAUAAAAGAUUUUAUAAUUAUUAAGAAAAGAAAAAAAUGUUAAAAAAAAAUGAUUAUUUUUUUUUAUUAUGAAAUAUACGAAAGUAAAAAUAUAUAAUUAAAAUUAAUAAAAAAACUAAUAUAUUUUAAAAUUAUUUACUUUUUAUUUUUAAAAAUUAAAUAAAUAAAAUAAAUUUAAAAUAAAAUAUAAAAAUAAUUUAUUAAUUUUAAAUUUAUUUUUUAUUUCUCUCUCACUUGUUCUUUAAGACGUGUUGUGUGUAAAAUACCAUAAAACAAGUCAUAUCACCAUGCUCAAGAUUUCAACAUGGUAGGUGUAGGUUUUGAAGACUUUUCCAUAUGAUUAAUACUUGGAUACCUGAAUUUUCUUUGGGUGGGGUUGGGCUUCUGUAAGUUUCUCUGCAAUUUUCUCCUACUUGGAAACAAAGGAAUGGUCAAAGAGAGGAACUCAGUGAAGAGAAGAUUGAAACGGACUGGAUACACCCUCGCUUGCUCCGAAGGUUGGUAUGAUCUUCAUGGUCGGUAGGCCUUCUCAAGUCUCCAUGCAUGCCUCAUUUUUCCCAUAUGAUAAAUCAAUGGUAGGAAGAGCGAGCUUCACACGAACAAACACAAUAAAAUCAUUAAAUUUUUGGAAUAAUAAUAUGAUGAAGUUGAUAAAUGAUAAGGAUUAGGAAGAUGUUUAAUGAAAUUUUAAACUAAUAAUAAUUAGAUGUAUUUAACCUAAACUUUUGGAGAGAUUAAUGAAAUUAAUCAUAUAAAAAUUUCUCUAAUUUUAAUUUUAGAAUAAAUAUUAACAAUAUUUUUUUCAAAUAUAAAUAAUAAUAUUUGGAAAACAUCAUCAGUAAAUUGCCUUUUCAAUUUUUUGUCUAAUUGUCAUUUUAAAUGAAUAUUAAAAUCCUUUUAGUAAAAUUUAUGAAUUUAGUAAAAUAUUAAUAUCUAUAUUUUAUAAAUUUUAAUAAAGUUUUAUUAUUUUUAAUAAAAAAAAAAUUAUAUAAGUUGUGUUUGUCUUAUUAGUAUCACUAUUUACAAAAUUUAUCUUUAUAUUAUUUAUUUUAAAAAUUAUUAUUUAUUAAGAAUCAUUUUUAUAAAAGGUAAAAAAUAAUUACCAUAUAAAUAUAAAUUAAAAGUCGAGGUUAUAUUUGUUAAUUAUUUUUAAAAAGGGAUUUCAAAACAUUACUUUCUCCAAAAAUAACAAUAAUAAUAUUAUAAACACAAUAUUUACUCAAAAUAUUAUGUAAAUGAAAAACUUAAAAAUAAUAUAUAUUUGUUUUUUAAAAAAUAUUUUUAGUCAUAAUUAAAGGUCAUCUACUCAACAUGUUGGUGGGAAUGGUAUAUAAGUCAAUGCCUGCUUUGCUCACAAAUCAAAAACCAAAACUUGCUAAUCCUUGUUAUUACACACUAUCCUUGCUCUGUGUUGAACAUGGCUACAAGCCCCUUUCGAUAUUUUAUUUCCCUUUUUCUGCUUUUGCUCUGUUUCGAAGCCUGUUUGAGGGUGGGUGAUGCUACAGUUGGGUGCAGAGAGAGGGAGAGGCAAGCUCUCCUUCACUUCAAACAAGGUGUUGUCGAUGACGAUGGAGUGCUUUCUUCAUGGGGGAAUGGGGAAGACAAAAGAGAUUGUUGCAAAUGGGCAGGAGUGGAGUGUAACAACCAGACGGGUCAUGUGAUCAGGCUUGAUCUUCAUGACCAAUCUUUGGGAGGUAAGAUAUCUCAGCUUGGUCCUUCAUUGGCAGAGUUGCAGCACUUGAAGCAUUUGAACCUCAGCUAUAAUGAUUUUAAAGGUAAUUAUAUACAUAUAUACCUUGUGAAAAUUCAUCAGCUUGUCUCAGCAGAAUAUAAUUCUCUCUUUUCCCAAUUUUACAGGAAUUCUUCCCACUCAACUUGGAAAUCUUUCCAAUUUGCAAUCCCUUGAUCUCGGCAGUAAUUAUGGGCAUAUGAGCUGUGAGAACCUUGACUGGCUUUCUCACCUUCCUUCGUUAACACACCUUGACUUGAGUGGGGUUUAUCUUAGUAAAGCAAUCCACUGGCCACAAGCAAUUAAUAAAAUGCCUUCCCUAACUGAGUUAUACUUGAGUGAUACUCAGCUUCCUCCGAUUAUUCCAACAAUAUCCAUUUCCCAUAUUAAUUCUUCUACUUCUCUUGCUGUGCUUCAUCUCUCCUUGAAUGGUCUCACUUCUUCAAUAUACCCAUGGUUGUUCAACUUCAGUAGCAGCCUUGUUCAUCUUGACCUCUCUAUGACUGAUCUAAAUGAAUUAAUUCCGGAUGCUUUUGGAAACAUGACUACUCUGGCAUAUCUUGAUCUCUCUUGGAACGAGCUAUGUGGUUCAAUUCCGGAUGCUUUUGGAAACAUGACUACUCUGGCAUAUCUUGAUCUCUCUUUGAACGAGCUACGUGGUUCAAUUCCGGAUGCUUUUGGAGACAUGACUACUCUGGCACACCUUGACCUUCAUUCUAAUCAUCUAAAUGGAUCAAUUCCGGAUGCUUUUGGAAACAUGACUAGUCUGGCAUAUCUUGAUCUCUCUUCGAAUCAA